GAUGAACGCUGGCGGCGUGCCUAAUACAUGCCAGUCGAGCGAACAGACGAGGAGCUUGCUCCUCUGACGUUAGCGGCGGACGGGUGAGUAACACGUGGAUAACCUACCUAUAAGACUGGGAUAACUUCGGGAAACCGGAGCUAAUACCGGAUAAUAUAUUGAACCGCAUGGUUCAGUAGUGAAAGACGGUUUUGCUGUCACUUAUAGAUGGAUCCGCGCCGCAUUAGCUAGUUGGUAAGGUAACGGCUUACCAAGGCAACGAUGCGUAGCCGACCUGAGAGGGUGAUCGGCCACACUGGAACUGAGACACGGUCCAGACUCCUACGGGAGGCAGCAGUAGGGAAUCUUCCGCAAUGGGCGAAAGCCUGACGGAGCAACGCCGCGUGAGUGAUGAAGGUCUUCGGAUCGUAAAACUCUGUUAUUAGGGAAGAACAAAUGUGUAAGUAACUAUGCACGUCUUGACGGUACCUAAUCAGAAAGCCACGGCUAACUACGUG
RNAcentral lists this ribosomal RNA (497 nucleotides) under uncultured bacterium. RNAcentral describes it as "partial 16S ribosomal RNA". It matches the Rfam family "Bacterial small subunit ribosomal RNA", at positions 28 to 507 of the family's 1533-position model. The record is from RNAcentral.